Molecule: long non-coding RNA, 2369 nt
Filed under: Vigna radiata
Lineage: Eukaryota; Viridiplantae; Streptophyta; Magnoliopsida; Fabales; Fabaceae
Description: long non-coding RNA (VRAD_LNC002403)
Source: RNAcentral
UGGGGACAAUGACAUGUGAGCUUUCGUUGGAGGUUAAUUAAUGUCACUGCUCCCCUCAUUUUGGAUACCAAGUUAGCCCCAUCCUUAGAUGCAUCUUCUUUCAACUCACUACACGCAAACAAGAAAAUAAAACAUACGCAAGGAACACUGGGCAAAAGGUACAAUACUAUUUCAACUUCCCUUCAUUCAGUAAGGCUUUAGGGGGCCUCUCACUUCACACAUGAAGGAUCUUUAAAACUUUCAACACAAAAAUUCAUCCAUUUCAGCUUUAUAUCUCUCACAAGAACCAUUAUCACUACAGAAAUAUUGUUCAUAGAUACUGCAUAUAUUUGGACGCCACACGUAAUCAAGGUUCAAAAAUCACGUCAAAAACUUCGAUUUUAAGUGGAAACAAGAGUAUAUAUAGCUUUUCGUGGAUACCGCCAAUGGGAUGAGUCAAAACAAACAUCAUAACGUAUUUAUUAUAAAGAAUUGAUUUUGAAUUUCAAAAGUAGUUCUAGAUAUCGUAGAACUCGUUGUUUUUAAGUACAACUACUACCAUAUGCAGGAAACUGCAACUUGAAUGCCUGUGAUUUAUUCUCGUACGAUAAAGAGUUGAAACUCAGCAUUGACCAAGAACGUGAGCAAGCACAUUUUCAUUGCAUGCUUAAAUGAAGAGAGCAAUUAUUAAUAUGGGGGUAGAGAAAAACGUGUUUCUUGCCUUGCAUUACUCUUUACUUUUAUUCUUUACCUUGGACUAGAAUGUCCUUGACUAUAGGAAAGAGUAAGUAGAAAAUUAUCGCUACCUAUAAGUUAAUGUGUGUCUUAUGGACACCAUUUCAUCUUUUUUACUCACAUAACAUAUAUAUACUUUCUUUUGCAUCGAUGAUAUGAGAUAUCAUCCUUUGCAUAUGGCAACACGCACAUGUAUCACAGGUAUGUUCUACCUAGUUGCAUAUGGCUCUUUGGGUAAGCAGUCCAAGGAGAAUUUCACAGUGUAGUAAAUUCUUCGGAAAAUUCAUUGUUACAAACAUAUGCAGACAAACUAGUAGCAUUUGGAUUAUAUUACAAAGUAAUCCUCUUUUUUAUUUACCUGGCAUAAAAGCUUUGAAGAAUUAAAUCAGCAGAAAAGAGAAAACUCUAUUCAAAUUAUGUUGUGAAUAGUGUUUGUUUCAAUACAUAUACCACUGUAUGAUUCAUCUCAAGCUGACUUUAUCAACACACGAAAAUCCAGAUAUCCAUCAUACCCUGAGCUUAGUUAUAAAGAACAUUUGGAAGCAGAAUAAAGAAUUCUUGGAAAAUCUAAUAUUUAAUCAGUUUGGAUACAAAGUUAAAAGUAUUUCUAAAGAAGUUCCAAAAAACACUUUUAACUUGCACCAAAUCGUGUUUAGGAAAGGCCAGACAUUGUUUAUUUCCACAGAAAACUUCAACCCUUACUGUCCAUUAAAAGAAGACCCAUGAAGUCCUCCAUCAUCAUCAUCAUCACGAGUAAUGGGAAGUGUGCCUCCUGCUGCUUAACUACUAGAAAUUCCUGUAAUUGUGUUAAAAAAACUCUCUGAUCAGAAACAGUUUCUAAAGUAAUAGACACCAAAACAGGAAUCCGAUCUCUCUAUCCAGAAAGAUGGUAUGCAUUAAACUCAAAACCUAACUCCCGGAGUUAAUUUUACCCCAAAUUCAAGGAGACAAAACAGAGAGACAAGUAAAAAUAACCUUUCAUAAAAGAAGUGAUGGAACGUGCGUGAUAAUUAAUUUUGUUUCUUAACUAACACCUGCGUGAUAGUAACCUUAACCUACCACCAAUAUCCCCCACCCGAACACAGAACAGGAAAAAUAAUAAUUGCAAAGGAAGAGGUAACGAAUUAAGUUAUUUCAGAGUCCCGCAUCGAGAAGGUGAGAGACGUGAAAAUUGUAUGGGUGUGUAUAAAUAGAAGUGGACAGGGCACGUGGCCAAACACGAUCUCAGGUACAUAUGUGGCCGUACAUAAUGGGGGCAAAAGUAUUUUGAUGGUAUGUGGUACAAGACGGUACGUACAGGUGCCCUAAGCUAAGCAGUGUAGCUUUAUGGAAGAACCAAAAUAAUAAUUAAGAAGAUGGAACUCACCAUUUUGAAUGAGAAUCAGUGGAAUAUGAGGUGAACAAGGUCGGCGCAGAGAAAGAAGAGCAGUAGCAGAAAGAGGAAAAAAAUAGCAAAUCGUAAGAGGAAUAAGAAGAGAAGGAGUGUUAUGAUUAUGGAAAUAGGAGAGUCUGUCCAAACCACCAACAUAGUUGCAUAUAUUUGAUUACAGAUCAUGCUAUUGAUUUUGUUGAAUUCAAUUGCAGAGUUGCAGGGAUGUCAAACCUACUGUACUGGUGGUUGGAAGUUGGAGCAAACUCUGCAAGUUGAAGCAAAU